Molecule: ribosomal RNA, 253 nt
Filed under: uncultured bacterium
Lineage: Bacteria
Description: partial 16S ribosomal RNA
Rfam family: Bacterial small subunit ribosomal RNA
Source: RNAcentral
GACGAGGGAUCCUAGCGUUGUUCGGAAUCAUUGGGCGUAAAGCGGGUGUAGGUGGCUAUGUAAGUCGAGUGUGAAAGCCUGGGGCUCAACCCCAGAAGUGCAUUCGAUACUGCGUAGCUUGAGUGGUAGAGAGGUUAGUAGAAUUGUUGGUGUAGUGGUGAAAUACGUAGAUAUCAACAGGAAUACCGGAGGCGAAGGCGGCUAACUGGCUACACACUGACACUCAGACCCGAAAGUGCGGGGAUCAAACAGG